CAUAGAGAUGGCAAUGGAGCUUGCCAAAACCGCCCUUUGUUUUUAAGUUUUUCAUAAUCUUUAAGAGGCUGAUAGCUCCUACUCUUCC
RNAcentral lists this non-coding RNA (88 nucleotides) under Stanieria cyanosphaera. Its description in RNAcentral is "Fluoride sequence". It matches the Rfam family "Fluoride riboswitch aptamer (crcB RNA motif)". The record is from RNAcentral. Lineage: Bacteria; Bacillati; Cyanobacteriota; Cyanophyceae; Pleurocapsales; Dermocarpellaceae. RNAcentral also lists the same sequence under 1 other name.